This 119-nucleotide ribosomal RNA is filed under the name Pteropus alecto (black flying fox). Lineage: Eukaryota; Metazoa; Chordata; Mammalia; Chiroptera; Pteropodidae. The record is from RNAcentral.
AUCUACGGCCAUGCCACCCUGAACAAGCCCGAUCUCGUCUGAUCUCAGAAGCUAAGCAGGGUCGGGCCUGGUUAGUACUUGGAUGGGAGACCACCUAGGAAGACCAGGUGCUGUAGGCG